AUUCAGAUACUAGUUCUAGUAGUUUUGGAGUGGAUUCUUCAAUGUUUUUUAUAUACGACAUCAUGUCAUCUGGAAAAAGUGACAGUUUGACUUCUUCCUUACCAAUCUGGAUGCCUUGUAUUUCUUUGUGUUAUCUGAUUGCUGUGGCUAGGACCUUCAAUCCUAUGUUGAAUAAAAGCGGGGAGAGUGGGCAUCCUUGGCUUGUUCCCAACCUUAGGGGAAAAGCUUUCAGAUUCUCGCUGUUAAGUAUAAUGUUGGCUGUGGGUUUGUCAUAUAUGGCCUUCAUUAUGUUGAGGUACUUGCCCUCUAUACCCAUUUUGUUGAGAGCUUUUAUCAUGAUGGCUGCUGAACUUUGUCGAAUGCUUUUACAGCAUCUAUGGAGAUGAUCAUAUGGUGUUUAUCCUUCUUUUUGUUGAUGUGGUAUAUGGUGAUGAUGGAUUUUCGAAUGUUGUACCAUCCUUGCAUCCCUGAGAUGAAUCCCACUUGGUCAUGGUGUAUGAUCCUUUUGAUGUAUUUUUGAGUUCUAUUUGCAGAUAUUUUGUUGAGUAUUUUUGCAUCUAUGUUCAUCAGGGAUAUUGGUCUGUAGUUUUCUCUUUUUGUAGCGUCUUUGCUUGAUUUUGGUACUUGAGUGAUGCUGGCUUUAUAGAAUGAGUUUGGGAGUGUUCCCUCCUCUUCUGUUUUUUGGAGAACUUUAAGGAGAAUGGGUAUUAUGUCUUCUCUAAAUGUCUCACAGAAUGCAGCAGUCAAUCUAUCUGGUCCAGGUGGAUUUUGUAUUUGGAUAGUUUUUUGAUUACCAAUUCAAUUUUGUUGCUGUUGAUUGGUCUGUUUCGAUUUUAUGUUUCUUCCUUGGUCAGUCUUGGAAGAUUGUAUUUUUCUCGAAGUUGUCCAAGUCUUCUAGUUUACCCAGUUUCUUAGCAUAUUGAUUUUCGUAGUAUUCUCUAAUAAACCUUGUAUUUCUGUUGUGUCCAUAGUGAUUUUUUUCCUUUCUCAUUUCUGAUACUGUUGAUGUGUAUAGAUUCUCUUUUCCUCUUAAUAAGUCUGGCUAGGGGUUUAUCUAUUUUGUCUGUUUUCUCAAAGAACCAGCUCUUGGUUUCAUUAAUUUUUUUCUAUUUUAUUCUUCUCAAUUUUAUUUAUUUAUUCUCUUGUCUUUAUUAUUUCCCUCCUUCUGCUGACUUGGGGCCUCAUUUGUUCUUCUUUUUCCAGUUUCAAUGAUUGUGAAAUUAGACUAUUCAUUUGGGAUUGUUCUUCCUUCUUUAAAUAGGCCUGGAGUACUGUAUACUUUCCUCUUAGAACUGCUUCGCUGUGUCCCACAGAAGUUGGGUCGUUGUGCUGUUUUCAUUUGUCUCCAUAUAUUGCUUGAUCUCUGUUUCAGUUUGGUCAUUGAUCCAUUGAUUAUUUAGGAGCAUGUUGUUAAGCCUCGAUGUGUUUGUGUGCCUUUUUUGUUUUCUUUGUACAAUUUAUUUCUAGUUUUAUACCUUUGUGAUCUGAGAAGUUGGUUGGUAGAAUAUCAAUCUUUUUGAAUUUACUGAGUCUCUUUUUGUGGCCUAGUAUGUGGUCUAUUCUGGAAAAUGUUCCAUGUGCCCUUGAGAAAAAUGUGUAUCCUGCAGCUUUUGGGUGUAGAGUUCUGUAGAUGUCUGUUAGAUCCAUCAGUUCUAGGAUGUUGUUCAGUGCCUCUGUGUCCUUACUUAUUUUCUGCCUGGUUGAUCUGUCCUUUGGAGUGAGUGCUGUGUUGAAGUCUCCUAAAAUGAGUGCAUUGCAUUCUAUUUCCCCCUUGUAUCUGUUUCAUGUAUGUAGGUGCUCCUGUGUUGGGUGCAUAGAUAAUUAUAAUGGUUAUAUCCUCUUGUUCUACUGACCCCUUUAUCAUUAUGGAAUGUCGUUAUUCUCUCUCUUGUUAUAACUUUCUUUGUUUUGAAGUCUAUUUUGUCUGAUACAAGUACUGCAACUCCUUUUUUUUCUCCCUAUUGUUUGCAUGAAAUAUGUUUAUCCAUCCCUUCACUUUUAGUCUGUGUAUGUCUUUGGGUUUGAAGUGAGUCUCUUGUAGGCAGCAUAUAUCUGGGUCUUGCUUUUUUAUCCACUCUAACUCUGUGUCUUUUGGUUGGUGCAUUCAGUCCAUUAACAUUUAGAGUGAUUAUCCGUAGUUAUGUACUUAACUACCUUUGCAGGCUUUGGAUUCGUGGUUACCAAAGGGUCAAGGGCAGCAGUGCCUGCAGUGCCUGCCGCACGUCACUAGGGGGCGAAGCGGCGCAGGAAGCCGCCCCGGGCUCGCGGGCUCUGCGCGAAAGUCCAAGCGGGCGGCCUGGCGCGUUAGAAAACUGGCGAGGCGGUGGGGGCGGGGCGCGGGGCCGCGAGCCUCCUCCCCUCGGCCAAUCAGCGACCGCGGCGGGCGCCUGUGUGCAGCGCGCGCCCUGUGCGGGGCACUUAUCCUCUGCGCCGGGCGGGGAGGACGGCAGAAGCGGCGUCUCCUCUGUUCCAGUCGGACUCCUCGGGAGGCGCGGCGCGGCCCGGGCGCCCUGGCUGCGGGGCUGCUGAAGGCGGUCUGACGGAAUUUCCCUGCUGACAACUUCGCCGCCGCCUCCGCCCUGUCCCGCGAGGGCAGCCGCCCGAUAUCGGGCCUCCCCUCGAGCGCGUGAGGACUUGGGGCCGGAGGCAGGCGACGGCCGCCCCGCAGUAUGGCCCGCGGGGGUCCCCGCCUGGCCCCGAGCGGCGGCGGCGCGGCGGGCGACCGACUCCAAAGUUGAGCGCAGGCCGGUGGCGCUGGUGGUGGCCGCUCAUGACGCUCCAGCUGCACUUGCUCCAGGUGCUGGUUCAAGGCGGACUCCUCAGGAGCCUCGGCGCGGCCCUGGCACUGGCUGCGGGGCCGCCGAAGGCGUUCUGACGGAAAUUUCCCUGCUUACAACUUCGCCGCCGCCGCUGCGCUCCUGGAGGCCCGCCGCUGCCUGAUAACGGGCCGCUAUGCUGCACCGUAGUGCCCGAGAGCCCGGCCAAAGUUGAGCGCAGGCCGGCGGCGCGAGUGGUGGCCGCUCCGGACGCUCCAGCUGCACUUGCUCCAGGCGCUGGUUCAAGGUAGGCCUGUAUUGCAAUAUACUUCCCUUGGGAGUCUUCCUUGGGAGCUGGGAAAGUCACCUGAGUGGAGGCCAGGAUUCCCCUUCAGAGGCAUCUCCUUGGACGCCAGGGACUGAGGAAGGCCGUGGGCACCUGUGAGAGCCUAGGCUGAGGCUGCACUUCAGCGGCUUCUCAAAGGCCCGCGUGUCUGGGAUCAGACCCCGACAGCCCGACUGGGUAUCCAUGAGGAGUGUCCCUCUUUCUGUCUGCCUGACUUCCAGCCUGCCUCUCCAGGACACCCUGGCCUCUGAGUCAGGUAGGGGGCGUUCCUAACUCUCUUCUAACUUCAUCAGCAUCACGGACCCCGAUGCUCACCACCGCAAGGUAGGAGAUCUACACUUCACUUUUAUUCCUGUCUAAAUGGUGUUCUUUUUAUCUAAUAAAAAUGUGUCUGUGCACCCGUUAGCCACCUAAAAGACAAUUAUCGUCGGCUACCAGUGUUAAGUCUUGCUGAAAGUUUCCUAGUGUGUGCCAUCCAUGAUUCCCACCUCUGGAUAGAUGGGAAUGUCAGGGAGUGGCUGCGCAGAGCUCCUGCUUUCCCCUUGUAAGCUACGGGCUGGGACGGCAGACCGGACUAGUAGACAGUGGUCCUUGGAUCUCGGCUCCGGCCGAUGGAUCCGAUGGCGCGGAGUGAACCUCCGGCUAGGCUGCUGCCUAUGAGAGAGUCACAGAUGACCCCUGACCUCUUGUCUCACCGGUCAGAUUUCUUACAGUGGGUGACUAGCAGGGUGAUUCCCAGGCAGUGGCAGACACUGGUGUUUAAGUGUAGAGACCCCCCCUCAUAAAUGUCCAUGGCAGCCUCUGAAUUUUAUCUGUGGCUUUGGAAAAAGUUCCCUUGCUCCUCAUUCAAAGCCAUCCUCUUAGGUGUGGGCCACUUUCUCCUGUAUAAUGUAAAUGAAGUCUGUGCAGUAGUCAGGCUGAAACCUGAGUCCAACAUGUAAAUGGUUCUAUGCUAUUGACCUCCCUUCCUUAGAGGCAGUCAUCCUGGGGCUGUGGCAUUUCCCUACCUGUAGCUCCAGGGAAGGAAAACAGGCUUGUGAGUCUGACCAAGGCUCUGGCAGUGAUAUGUCACACAGUCCCUACACUUAUCGGACAGGCAGGGGGCUCUCAAGGAAUAAUCCCGAGUGUACUAUGCUAAAGCUUGUGCAAAGAAAACUGGGAUCUAGAUUACAACUCCCAAAAGGCAUAAAGUAGGAGCACACUGGUAAGGUCGCACUAAAAAUCCAGAGCUCUGAGGCGACUCUUGCUUAGUGGGAAGGCAAGAGGGAAAUCAAGGCAAGGUGCAGGCCAUGGUGGUAAGCAGUGGUGAAACCCAGUAGGCCUGGCAGAGGAGGUGAUUGACCACUGUCAGCCAGGCUCCAAGGCGAGGGGACGCCCUCACGGAGAGAGAGGCUGACCAGGUGCUGGAUGUGAGGCCCCACACAGGGAGCACCCUGGCUGGCCUGCGGGGGCCAAGGCAGGUGCAGGCCCCGUAGGUCUUUGUGCCUGUGCGCUGAUGUCACCCCCGUGGUCCUGCCUGGUGGCCCUUCUCCAGAGAGCAUGGGUAGUCACAGGUAAGGGGGCCUCCUUUUGGGGACACCCAGGGCUGGUGUUAGUUAGUGGCCCUUUGCUUGCUGAGGUGACAGGCCAGCUAGAUUGCUGGGAAACUGCUCCCCUCUGUGCUGUCAAGGUGUGAACAUGGCAUUUCACUGCAUUUAGGCACUUAGAUGUGAGUGAGGUCUAUUUGAAAUGGAAUUGUAGCUUUUAGAGCUAUGUUUCUUUCUGUUCCUAUGAAAAAGGUGCUGAGCCUAAGGAGUUGGGUGAAAGUGGCAGGAAUUCUAAGAAUAUUUAUGUCCUUGCAUUUCUGUUUAGGGAAGUGAUUCUGAAGUAAUUUUUUACUCAUAUAUGAAAGUGAUGAGUAAAGUCACAUUAAACAUGUCGAAAUGACGUGAUAAUGUAGUAGAAAUACAGCCCCCACACCUUGGCCUGAUACAUAGGAGACACGCCAUUGGCGCUCUUUGCUCUCCUGUCCUGCUUUCUUACCUUAACAAACUUCAUUGUUCAGAGUGGUCCCAUCCACAUUUCAAGCAAAAUCUUUCUAAAACUGCAUAGAAACACUUGGCAGGAUAUCCCCAGAGACUAGUGGAAAAAUUACUCUUUCUGAUCACUGUUUGCUUGCCAGUUGUUCUCUCUGUCCCGCGUUCCUUUCCUAUUUCUGCAUUUCCUGUGAUUGUAGACCGAGAGGGGCAGUGGUGCGCAUCUCUGCUAGACGAGCCUUUGGGGCUGUUCAGGGGCUGUGCUUCUGUGGUGUUGGCAGUGCUCUUACCUUAAACAUAGCCUGUCCUGUGAAUUAUUCACGCGGGGUUACUUCUCUUAUGCAAUCAAAAUUGUAGAAAACCCGUUAGCUUUUUCUGUUGUGAGUUGUAUUUCAGAUCUAACCCGAUUUCUUAGGCACAGUAUAUGUUCCUUUUGAAUUGUAAGCAUAAAGCAACAGAUCACUUUCUAUGUUCACCUACAUCAUUAGCUGUAAAGAAUUAGAUCAACGUGUAAGUUUCAUC
Molecule: long non-coding RNA, 5639 nt
Organism: Manis pentadactyla (Chinese pangolin)
Lineage: Eukaryota; Metazoa; Chordata; Mammalia; Pholidota; Manidae
Exons: 3
Source: RefSeq, a predicted model, not a curated record